CUGUCAUUUUAUAGCAUUACUAGAGUUAUCUGGUAUAUUCUCUGCAAAGUUGUGUUUAUAUACUUUCACAUGAAUUUUGUUUAAAGUGGUGUUCUAGCAAGUUUAGAAAUUUCUGAAUCCACCCAUCACACAAUGACAACAGAAAAGUGUCUGAUUUUUUUGCUGUGUAUCCUUUUUUUUGAGCCUUCCCAGAACCUGGGAUUUAGAGUUGAAUGCUGUCUCGUGAGAGCUCGGCUGCUGGAAUCCCAUCACUGGUCUGAACGGGUCCCUAACAGACAGGAAAUUGGAAAACAACAUGCGAGGAGUGGUUCUGCGAGUGGUGACUGUGCUGGAAGAGCCCUUUGUCAUGGUGUCUGAGAACGUUCUGGGAAAACCAAAGAAGUAUCAAGGCUUCUCAAUAGAUGUCCUGGAAGCUUUGGCCAAUUACCUUGGCUUUAAGUAUGAAAUUUAUGUUGCUCCAGAUCACAAGUACGGGAGUCCUCAGGAUGAUGGGUCAUGGAAUGGACUGAUAGGAGAACUAGUAUUUAAGCUUUCUUAGAUGCACUCCAGCAGAGGAUAGCUACAUGGGAAUACAAAUGAUACUGUUAAACUCCACUGGAGCCUGUCCAGAGAUGCCAUUCCUCCGGGAACCUUCUUCAAACAUGGUGCAUCAACAUCAAACAUGGUGAUCAAGCAUUUUCAACAUGCCCCAGCUAAGGAGGAAAGGCAGACCUCACUUAGUACUAGUUAUCACAUGGCAGCCUCCCUACCUGAAGCAUACAUGAGCAGCUGCUAUUAGAGAUCACAGAGCUUCAAUCAGACCAGAGAUGGAACCUGCAAGCUUUGAGUGCCUCACAAUGAAGAUAUCACUAAGUUACACAGAAGCAGAUAAAGCUCAAAACCUUCCUCAAACCGGAUGCGCAUGCUCUUCUCCCAGCCCACCCAGGGAAGAAUUCUUCCAUCUUUCUAGCUGGUCAGGCCCAGAAAAGAGCUAGGCUCUCCUCAGCAGCCAGGAAGGAGCACCACUCUGCAAGGAAGACUUGCCCAAGCCCAGCAGCAGCUACACUCCAGAUGACAUUCUCAUCUCUGGAGGGCUUCCUACCACCACACCCCCACUCGGGGGGGGGGGGGGUUCCGUCCAGAGAUGGAGGGCUCCUUCCCAACAGACACUCAGGGGGGGAGCACCUCCAUCUCUGGAGGCCUCCUCACACAUGCCACCACUCAGGGGGAGCUUCACCCUACCAGGCUCCUCCCUCACAUCCCAAAGAAAGGGUACCAAUAAAGGGCCACUCACAAGUACAACAAAACCUGCCUUCCUCCCCUAAAAAAAAAUUCUGUUUGAGAUAGUACAAAUCCCAGUAUCCAGCACCCAAACAAAAUCCAAACCAGAAUGCAACCCAGACAGUAGCACUCUACCACCUUCUCAGUCCCACUCCAAAAGCAAAUUGCAUCCUUCAGCGCAUCUCCCAAAAAGAUGGAUUAAGAUAGUACUGGUCACUUUCCUCUGGAACACAAACCACGCGUAAACCUGAAAUAAAAAAUAAAACACCCUUCAGCACCAUACUCCAGAAACAAAGGCACCACUACCCUCAACACCAGCAAAGAAGAACUGACGGA
This is a non-coding RNA of Meleagris gallopavo (turkey), 1596 nucleotides long. Lineage: Eukaryota; Metazoa; Chordata; Aves; Galliformes; Phasianidae. The record is from RefSeq and is a predicted model, not a curated record.